UAGCUCAGUUGGUAAAGAAUCUGCCUGCAAUGCAGAAGACCCAGGUUCAGUUCCUGG
Molecule: transfer RNA, 57 nt
Filed under: Capra hircus (goat)
Lineage: Eukaryota; Metazoa; Chordata; Mammalia; Artiodactyla; Bovidae
Also listed under: 1 other name
Rfam family: tRNA
About the family: Transfer RNA (tRNA) molecules are approximately 80 nucleotides in length. Their secondary structure includes four short double-helical elements and three loops (D, anti-codon, and T loops).
Source: Rfam by way of RNAcentral